CAUGGUUCUGAACCGCAUGGCUAAAGGAGUAAAGGAGAUCGAUAUUGCUGCAACCCUGGAACAUAUUCGAGACCAGAGGCCAGGAAUGGUGCGCACCAAGGAUCAGUUUGAGUUUGCACUGACCGCUGUGGCUGAAGAGGUUAAUGCUAUUCUCAAAGCU
This is a long non-coding RNA of Sinocyclocheilus rhinocerous, 160 nucleotides long. RefSeq lists it as uncharacterized. The record is from RefSeq and is a predicted model, not a curated record. NCBI's taxonomy places the organism in Eukaryota, Metazoa, Chordata, Actinopteri, Cypriniformes, Cyprinidae. The transcript has 3 exons.